CCUUCGGGAGGCCGCAGUGGGGAAUAUUGGGCAAUGGGCGCAAGCCUGACCCAGCAACGCCGCGUGAAGGAAGAAGGCUUUCGGGUUGUAAACUUCUUUUAUGGAGGACGAAACAAAUGACGGUACUCAAUGAAUAAGCCACGGCUAACUACGUGCCAGCAGCCGCGGUAAUACGUAGGUGGGAAGUGUUAUCCGGAUUUACGGGGGGUAAAGGGCGUGUAGGCGGGACUGCAAGGCAGAUAGGAAAACCAUGGGCUCAACCCAUGGCCUGCAUUUGAAACUGUAGUUCUUGAGUGAUGGAGAGGCAGGCGGAAUUCCGGGUGUAGCGGUGAAAUGCGUAGAUAUACGGAGGAACACCAGUAGCGAAGGCGGCCUGCUGGACAUUAACUGACGCUGGGGCGCGAAAGCGUGGGGAGCAAACAGGAUUAGAUACCCCAGUAGUC
Molecule: ribosomal RNA, 443 nt
Filed under: uncultured bacterium
Lineage: Bacteria
Description: partial 16S ribosomal RNA
Rfam family: Bacterial small subunit ribosomal RNA
Source: RNAcentral